CCUACGGGUGGCUGCAGUGAGGAAUAUUGGUCAAUGGUCGGGAGACUGAACCAGCCAAGCCGCGUGAGGGAGGAAGGUCCAGAGUAUCGUAAACCUCUUUUGUCAGGGAACAAAGACUGGGACGCGUCCCCGGAUGAGUGUACCUGAAGAAAAAGCAUCGGCUAACUCCGUGCCAGCAGCCGCGGUAAUACGGAGGAUGCGAGCGUUAUCCGGAUUUAUUGGGUUUAAAGGGUGCGCAGGCGGUGUGUAAAGUCAGCGGUAAAAGCCCGGGGCUCAACCCCGGCCCGCCGUUGAAACUGGCAGUCUUGAGUUGGAGAGAAGUAUGCGGAAUGCGCGGUGUAGCGGUGAAAUGCAUAGAUAUCGCGCAGAACUCCGAUUGCGAAGGCAGCAUGCCGGCUCCACACUGAUGCUGAGGCACGAAAGCGUGGGUAUCGAACAGGAUUAGAUACCCUGGUAGUC
RNAcentral lists this ribosomal RNA (459 nucleotides) under uncultured bacterium. RNAcentral's name for it is "partial 16S ribosomal RNA". It matches the Rfam family "Bacterial small subunit ribosomal RNA", at positions 338 to 795 of the family's 1533-position model. The record is from RNAcentral.